UGUGGAAGGUGGUGUUGAUGUUGGAAGAGGAGGUGGAGCAGAUGGUGAAGAAGGCGCCACCCUCUUCCUCUUGGUGAUAAGGCCAUCUUCAGUCGCCUCAUCGUCUUCUUCGUCAUCCUCUUGGACCACCUGAGGGGUUUUCCUCUUUGGCUUCCUGAGGAUGAGCUUUUUGCGCUGUUGGGCGGGCUGGGCCUCUGAAGGAGUUGGGCCUUUAGGGGGCGAUCUGCCCUGGGCAGCGGCGAUCUCCACCACUGAAUUUGGCACGGUCUGGGAACCCGACGCCAACCCAUGGGCUCGGGCGAGCGCCCUCAGUUCAGCCAGUUUUCCCUUGCCCA
Molecule: long non-coding RNA, 335 nt
Filed under: Phaseolus vulgaris (common bean)
Lineage: Eukaryota; Viridiplantae; Streptophyta; Magnoliopsida; Fabales; Fabaceae
Description: long non-coding RNA (PVUL_LNC001682)
Source: RNAcentral